UACCAGCACCCCGAGUGGUCGGGACGAUUAUUGAGCCUAAAGCAUCCGUAGCCGGUUCUACAAGUCUUCCGUUAAAUCCACCUGCUUAACAGAUGGGCUGCGGAGGAUACUAUAGAGCUAGGAGGCGGGAGAGGCAAGCGGUACUUAGUGGGUAGGGGUAAAAUCCGUUGAUCCAUUGAAGACCACCAGUGGCGAAGGCGGCUUGCCAGAACGCACUCGACGGUGAGGGAUGAAAGCUGGGGGAGCAAACCGG
RNAcentral lists this ribosomal RNA (253 nucleotides) under uncultured bacterium. RNAcentral describes it as "partial 16S ribosomal RNA". It matches the Rfam family "Archaeal small subunit ribosomal RNA", at positions 474 to 727 of the family's 1478-position model. The record is from RNAcentral.